This 460-nucleotide ribosomal RNA is filed under the name uncultured bacterium. RNAcentral's name for it is "partial 16S ribosomal RNA". It matches the Rfam family "Bacterial small subunit ribosomal RNA", at positions 338 to 795 of the family's 1533-position model. The record is from RNAcentral.
CCUACGGGGGGCAGCAGUGAGGAAUAUUGGUCAAUGGGCGCGAGUCUGAACCAGCCAAGUAGCGUGAAGGAUGACUGCCCUACGGGUUGUAAACUUCUUUUAUACAGGAAUAAAGUGAUGCACGUGUGCCUUUUUGUAUGUACUUUAUGAAUAAGGAUCGGCUAACUCCGUGCCAGCAGCCGCGGUAAUACGGAGGAUCCGAGCGUUAUCCGGAUUUAUUGGGUUUAAAGGGAGCGUAGGUGGAUUGUUAAGUCAGUUGUGAAAGUUUGCGGCUCAACCGUAAAAUUGCAGUUGAUACUGGCAGUCUUGAGUACAGUAGAGGUAGGCGGAAUUCGUGGUGUAGCGGUGAAAUGCUUAGAUAUCACGAAGAACUCCGAUUGCGAAGGCAGCUUACUAGACUGCAACUGACACUGAGGCUCGAAAGUGUGGGUAUCAAACAGGAUUAGAUACCCUGGUAGUC